RNAcentral lists this ribosomal RNA (1356 nucleotides) under uncultured marine eukaryote. Its description in RNAcentral is "SSU rRNA". It matches the Rfam family "Eukaryotic small subunit ribosomal RNA", at positions 411 to 1779 of the family's 1831-position model. The record is from RNAcentral.
CACUUCUAAGGAAGGCAGCAGGCGCGCAAAUUACCCAAUCCUGACUCAGGGAGGUAGUGACAAGAAAUAACAAUAAACCGGCUUAUGCCGGUUUAAUUGGAAUGAGUACAAUUUAAACAUCUUAACGAGGAACAAUUGGAGGGCAAGUCUGGUGCCAGCAGCCGCGGUAAUUCCAGCUCCAAUAGCGUAUACUAAAGUUGUUGCAGUUAAAAAGCUCGUAGUUGGAUUUCUGUGGGGACGGAGCGGCCGGCCGCAACACGCGGUUCGAGCUAGCGCUUUCCCUACAUCCUGCCGCGAACCGUGCUACCAUUAGUUUGGUGGCGCCGGGGAUCGGCUCGAUUACUUUGAGAAAAAUGGAGUGUUCAAAGCAGGCCACACGCCUUGAAUAAGUUAGCAUGGAAUAAUAACUAAGGACUUCGGUUCUAUUUUGUUGGUGUUCGGGACUGAAGUAAUGAUUGAUAGGGACAGUUGGGGCGGUCUGUAUUCCAAAGCGAGAGGUGAAAUUCUUAGACCUUCGGAAGACAAACAGCUGCGAAAGCGUUCCGCAAGGAUGUUCCCUUUGAUCAAGAACGAAAGUUGGGGGAUCGAAGACGAUCAGAUACCGUCGUAGUCUCAACUAUAAACUAUACCAGCUAGGGAUCGGCCAACGUUAUUCUAUACCGACUUGGUCGGCACCUUAUGAGAAAUCAAAGCAUCUGGGUUCCGGGGGGAGUAUGGUCGCAAGGCUGAAACUUAAAGGAAUUGACGGAAGGGCACCACCAGCCGUGGAGCCUGUGGCUUAAUUUGACUCAACACGGGAAAACUUACCAGGUCCAGACAUAGUAAGGAUUGACAGAUUGAUAGCUCUUUCUUGAUUCUGUGGGUGGUGGUGCAUGGCCGUUCUUAGUUGGUGGAGUGAUUUGUCUGGUUAAUUCCGUUAACGAACGAGACCCCAGCCUGCUAAAUAGCGCGCGUGAGCUUUGCUCGCAGCGAGCUUCUUAGAGGGACUAUGAUGCGCGAUAGCACAUGGAAGUUUGGGGCAAUAACAGGUCUGUGAUGCCCUUAGAUGUUCUGGGCCGCACACGGGCUACACUGGCGCCUGCAACGAGCAUAUCAGCUGGCCCGAGAGGGUCUUGGCUAAUCUUUUGAACCGGCGCCGUGCUUGGGAUUGACCUUUGCAAUUGUUGGUCAUGCAACGAGGAAUGCCUUGUAAACGCGAGUCAUCAGCUCGCAUUGAAUACGUCCCUGCCCUUUGUACACACCGCCCGUCGCUCCUACCGAUGAAUGUUCCGAUGAAAUUUUCGGAGAGUGCCUGUGAACUUGGCUCUGCCUUGCGAACGGGAAGCUCAAAGUCACUUAAAUCUGAACAUUUCGAGG